AUUGAACGCUGGCGGAAUGCUUUACACAUGCAAGUCGAACGGCAGCACGGGGGCAGCCCUGGUGGCGAGUGGCGAACGGGUGAGUAAUACAUCGGAACGUGCCCGGUCGUGGGGGAUAACGUAGCGAAAGUUACGCUAAUACCGCAUACGAUCUGAGGAUGAAAGCGGGGGACCUUCGGGCCUCGCGCGAUCGGAGCGGCCGAUGUCAGAUUAGGUAGUUGGUGGGGUAAAGGCCUACCAAGCCGACGAUCUGUAGCUGGUCUGAGAGGACGACCAGCCACACUGGGACUGAGACACGGCCCAGACUCCUACGGGAGGCAGCAGUGGGGAAUUUUGGACAAUGGGCGCAAGCCUGAUCCAGCCAUUCCGCGUGCAGGACGAAGGCCUUCGGGUUGUAAACUGCUUUUGUACGGAACGAAAAGACUCUGGCUAAUACCUGGGGCUCAUGACGGUACCGUAAGAAUAAGCACCGGCUAACUACGUG
This 484-nucleotide ribosomal RNA is filed under the name uncultured bacterium. Its description in RNAcentral is "partial 16S ribosomal RNA". It matches the Rfam family "Bacterial small subunit ribosomal RNA", at positions 30 to 507 of the family's 1533-position model. The record is from RNAcentral.